ACCAUUGAAAUUUGUGGCCACCAACUGUUUGAUCAAAUGAGCCUUGGACUCCUAUGGGAUACAAAACAACAGAAACCUACCUGAUCCAAUCUUUUCUAGCACUCUCUAGCUAGCUAAAAUGGCCACACCCUCAAACACCAACUUUAACUCCCAUAUAUCAGGAAAACAGAGCAUUAACCAAAAAGCUUUAGCUGCAGAACAGUUUCCUUGGUGGUUUUCACCCGAAACAGGAAUUUACCAGAGCAAACACCUUUCCAUUGACCACCCAUCAGACCCUUUUCUUGAUAUUGUCUCCUUCAUUUUCCCACACCAGCAUGAUGGGGUUUCCUCAGCUCUCAUUGGUUCCUCUUGUGGGUCUGCAAUAUCUUACUCACAGCUCUACUCUUCUGUCAAGUCCAUGGCCUCUGGCCUCCGGCCUCCAGCAAAUGGGAAUCUCACAAGGUGAUGUUGUUUUGCUUCUUUUGCCAAAUUCCAUUUACUAUCCCAUUGCUUUCUUGGGUGUUUUGUACCUUGGUGCUAUUGUCACAUCCAUGAAUCCCCUCAGCAGUGUAGCAGAAAUCAAGAAACAGAUUGCUGAUACCAAAGCAUGUCAUGCUUUUACUGGACCUGAGAAUGCUGAUAAAUUACAGGCAUUGGGCAUUCCUGCAAUUCUGGUUCCAGAAAAUGCACUUUCGGGUUCUUUGAAGGACAUUUUUUCGGUUUUUUAUAAGCUUAUUUAUAGUAGGUGUUAUUUGGCUCUAAGGCCAGUGAUUAAGCAGCGCGACACUGCUGCAAUAAUGUAUUCGUCCGGGACUACUGGUGUAAGCAAAGGUGUUAUGAUAACACAUAGGAAUUUCAUAGCUACAGUAGCCCAUUUUGUGCGUUUUGAGGCUUCACAGUAUGAGGGUUCAAGCUUGGAUAAUGUGUAUUUAGCUGUUCUGCCAUUGUUUCAUAUCUACGGGUUGUCGCUUUUCGUGAUGGGGUUGUUGUCUUUAGGAUCUAGAGUUGUUGUGAUGAAGAGAUUUGAUGUCAAUGAGGUGAUCAAGGCAAUUGAUAGGUAUAAAGUUACACACUUCCCAGUUGUUCCACCAGUAUUGACAGCAUUGACAAAAAGAGCCAAUGAUAGCUUGGCCCCUCAUAGCCUCAAGAGUUUAAAACAGGUUUCUUGUGGUGCAGCUCUGUUGAGCAUGAAAACCAUAGAGGACUUUGUUCAAACCUUUCCUCACAUUGAUCUCAUUCAGGGCUACGGCAUGACUGAGACCACCGCGGUAGGAACUCGUGGUUUCAACACCGAAAAGCUUAGGAAACCCUCUUCAAUAGGGCUUUUAGCUCCAAACAUGCAAGCUAAAGUGGUGGACUGGAACACUAGAUCCCCUCUGCCUCCAACAAGUACCGGUGAGCUAUGGCUACACGGACCGGGGAUUAUGAAGGGCUACUUGAACAAUGCCAAGGCAACAUUGUCAACAAUUGAUGAAGAGGGCUGGCUACACACUGGAGACAUUGUGUUUUUUGAUGAAGAUGGAUACUUACAUCUACAAGACCGCUUAAAAGACGCGAUCAAAUAGAAGGGCUUUCAGCUUGCUCCUGCAGAUUUAGAAUGUGUGCUGAUCAACCAUCCUGAGAUACUUGAUGUUGCUGUGGCAGGUGCCAUGGAUGAAGAAAGUGGAGAGUUGCCUGUGGCUUUUGUGGUGAGGAAGCACAGAAGUGAACUAAACCAUGAUGCUGUCAUGGAUUUUGUGGCUGCACAAGUUGCUCCAUACAAGAAGGUCAGGAAGGUGGUGUUUGUAGAUUCAAUUCCAAAGUCUCCAGCUGGGAAGAUCCUAAGAAGGGAGCUUAGGAAGUUUUUGAAUUCUAGACUCUAGGACAAGUUAGAUUGUCUUCAGGUUUUUGGAGUGGGGUUUUAUCACAUUUUCUCGGGAAACCAAACAAAAACAAGGAGAGAUAAAAACAAGGAAGUUCGAAUAAAUAACAGACCUUUCCAGUGCCGGCCAUGGCGACGAUGCCUCUGGAGGCUUUGCGGGAGGAGGAAGAGAGGCAGAGCUGGGAGUGAAGGUGUUGGAAGAGGGAGAGAGACUGGGUGUGGUCCAACUUGGAGCCCGAUCGUCGCAGACCGGAGUAAGAGGAGACGGAUUUAGGGCCAGAGAGUUGGGAAGCGAGAGAUGUGGAGGCCACCGCCAUGACUGACUCAGUGAGUUGGA
This is an RNA transcript of Prunus dulcis (almond), 2177 nucleotides long. It is a transcript of the gene named 4-coumarate--CoA ligase-like 6, with no coding region annotated. The transcript has a single exon. The record is from RefSeq and is a predicted model, not a curated record. NCBI's taxonomy places the organism in Eukaryota, Viridiplantae, Streptophyta, Magnoliopsida, Rosales, Rosaceae.